UAAUACAGAGGGUGCGAGCGUUAAUCGGAAUUACUGGGCGUAAAGGGUGCGUAGGUGGUUAUGUAAGUUAGAUGUGAAAUUCCUGGGCUUAACCUGGGGACUGCGUCUGAUACUGCAAAGCUAGAGUACUGUAGAGGAAAGUGGAAUUUCCGGUGUAGCAGUGAAAUGCGUAGAUAUCGGAAGGAACAUCAGUGGCGAAGGCGACUUUCUGGACAGAUACUGACACUGAGGCACGAAAGCGUGGGGAGCAAACAGG
This 256-nucleotide ribosomal RNA is filed under the name uncultured bacterium. RNAcentral's name for it is "partial 16S ribosomal RNA". It matches the Rfam family "Bacterial small subunit ribosomal RNA", at positions 521 to 776 of the family's 1533-position model. The record is from RNAcentral.